RNAcentral lists this long non-coding RNA (1436 nucleotides) under Canis lupus familiaris (dog). RNAcentral's name for it is "lncRNA (ENSCAFG00845020258.1)". Lineage: Eukaryota; Metazoa; Chordata; Mammalia; Carnivora; Canidae. The record is from RNAcentral.
GCGGGGGGGUGGUCGCGGGCUGUGUUUACAGCUGCGCACGCGACGCUUCCGGGUGACGUCGCGGGUCUGGAGUUCGGGGCCGGGGCGGGCUGGGAGCGGGAUCCUGGGCGGGGAGGCGGGGAGAGGUCUGGUACCGUCCCCCCCCCCCCCCCCCCCCCCGUUCCGAACGACCUUGGCCUGGUUCCUCAAGCUCCCUGAGCUCCGGUUUCAUCCGUUGGGCAACUGUUCUUUGGGCCCCUUCUCUUGCCCUGCCCUGGCCCGGCCGGGGUUACUGCGGAGAGCUCACCGAGAAGGGUGGGUGCCUCGGCCAGCCAGGGCAGAAGUAACCUGUCCACUCAGGAAGUCAGGUUUUGGUGUCUCUUAAGCCACCUGGAAUCAUGCAGGCUCUGCCAUUUUUUGCAAAUGCUGAUAGUGUCAGGAGUUUUCUGGUCUUGUUAGAAAUGGCUCCUCCAGGGGCACCUAGGUGUCUCGGUGGGUGAAGUGUCCACCUUCCGCUCAGGCCAUGAUCCCGCCGUCUUGGAUCCAGCCUGCGUUCGGGCUCCCUGCUCAGCCAGAAGCUGGUUUGCCUUCCAUCUGCGAGUCCCCCUGCUUGUGCACUCGCUGUGUCAAAUAAAAUAUUAAAAAAAAAAAAAAAAAAGAAUGGCUCUUCUCUUUAACAAAGCAUCAUAAGCAUGGAUUAGUAUGAGCCCGCUGCUUUGGUGGCCCUGAAAGAGGUACUGUUACACUGGGACAGCAUCAGGGUGUCCUGGAAGGGAAGUGGGUUCUGGAACCAGACAAGGCUGUGUAUGAGUCUUGACCCUGCUGCUUAAUGACUAAUGUUGGAUAAGCUACUGCAGCCCUGAGCCUUGUUUCAUUCGUAGAAGCAGAGGUAGGAGCGUGGAACAAUCCCACAAUCCCAGGACCGGUGAGUGGAUUAAUAGGUGCGCAGUGCUGAGCAUGGGCCUAGCACUCUGUGUACCAUUUCUAGUACUCACCUCUUUGCCUCCAUCUGGACCACUCUAGGGAACCCAAGCCCCAUUUGAUUGAUGAAGAAACAGGCUGGAAUCCAAUCCCCCUUAUGCUCUUGCCAGUGUUCAGAGCCAGUGGAGAAUGGGCACUCACUCCAUAGGCCAUGAGGGUGUUUCUGGCCAGUGAGAGAGGGCACUGUCCUGGCAGGGCCCACUAGGGGAUUUUCUGGUUCAGGGAAACAGGAAGUCCCUUGCCCCUUCCCCCUGCCUUGAUCCAGCAACACUCGGUUACCCGCCCAGGCUUGUCCAGCUCAGAAGGAGCACUCUCAAGCUGGCAGGUUGGCUGGGGUGGGGCAGACGAGGCUGGCAGGAGCAAAGGUUAUUCCUCUGGCCCCCAUGGCACCCCUAGCCUGGUUGUUUUCCCAGGGGCAGCAGGGAAGAAAAAAACAAUCUUGUUUUUAGCCAGGAUCAGCUUGGCUAGAGAGUGGA